RNAcentral lists this ribosomal RNA (253 nucleotides) under uncultured bacterium. Its description in RNAcentral is "partial 16S ribosomal RNA". It matches the Rfam family "Bacterial small subunit ribosomal RNA", at positions 524 to 776 of the family's 1533-position model. The record is from RNAcentral.
UACGUAGGGUGCAGGCGUUAAUCGGAAUUACUGGGCGUAAAGCGUGCGUAGGCGGUCUAUUAAGACAGGCGUGAAAUCCCCGGGCUUAACCUGGGAACUGCGCUUGUUACUGAUAGGCUUGAGUGUGGCAGAGGGGGGUGGAAUUCCACGUGUAGCAGUGAAAUGCGUAGAGAUGUGGAGGAACACCGAUGGCGAAGGCAGCCCCCUGGGCUAACACUGACGCUCAUGCACGAAAGCGUGGGGAGCAAACAGG